This is a long non-coding RNA of Macrobrachium nipponense, 421 nucleotides long. RefSeq lists it as uncharacterized. Lineage: Eukaryota; Metazoa; Arthropoda; Malacostraca; Decapoda; Palaemonidae. The transcript has 4 exons. The record is from RefSeq and is a predicted model, not a curated record.
GUUUUAGCUAAUAAACACAAGCAAGAAGAUAUUGCUUUAUUAUCGCCCUUCAUCCCGGAACCUCGACGACGAGAAAUGGAAUAUUACCUCCAAUACUAAAACACCAUCUUUCCCUCUACCUACAGCUGAUUUCAGAAGGAAUCCUCAUGGCCAGUACCUUGGGAGAGGAGAAAUUUAUGAUUGGAAACGUACAUUGUUUAUGUCUGAUAAUUUUUCUGUAGAGCUGAGCAGGACCUUGUCCUCUUGUGGGUUGGAAGGGAUUUUUAAUCUCUGUUCCCUGGUAUCCCUUAUUUAAUUCAGGAAAGUAUAAUCUUAAUAUGUCAACAGAUGUCCAACAAGAGUUGCAAAAUAAAAUAGGUAAAUCUACUUUACGGCGAGGGCGCUUAGGAGGAGUAUUGUCAUUCCUUUUUGCAGUCGAACC